Molecule: ribosomal RNA, 581 nt
Filed under: uncultured bacterium
Lineage: Bacteria
Description: partial 16S ribosomal RNA
Rfam family: Bacterial small subunit ribosomal RNA
Source: RNAcentral
UGGGGAAUUUUGGACAAUGGGGGAAACCCUGAUCCAGCCAUCCCGCGUGUGCGAUGAAGGCCUUCGGGUUGUAAAGCACUUUUGGCAGGAAAGAAACGUCGCGGGUUAAUACCCCGCGGAACUGACGGUACCUGCAGAAUAAGCACCGGCUAACUACGUGCCAGCAGCCGCGGUAAUACGUAGGGUGCAAGCGUUAAUCGGAAUUACUGGGCGUAAAGCGUGCGCAGGCGGUUCGGAAAGAAAGAUGUGAAAUCCCAGAGCUUAACUUUGGAACUGCAUUUUUAACUACCGGGCUAGAGUGUGUCAGAGGGAGGUGGAAUUCCGCGUGUAGCAGUGAAAUGCGUAGAUAUGCGGAGGAACACCGAUGGCGAAGGCAGCCUCCUGGGAUAACACUGACGCUCAUGCACGAAAGCGUGGGGAGCAAACAGGAUUAGAUACCCUGGUAGUCCACGCCCUAAACGAUGUCAACUAGCUGUUGGGGUCUUCGGACCUUGGUAGCGCAGCUAACGCGUGAAGUUGACCGCCUGGGGAGUACGGUCGCAAGAUUAAAACUUAAAGGAAUUGACGGGGGUGCAUAGCUG